GAGACAGAGUCUCGCUCUGUCGCCCAGGCUGGAGUGCAGUGGUGCGAUCUCGGCUCACUGCAAGCUCCUCCUCCUGGGUUCACGCCAUUCUCCUGCCUCAGCCUCCCAGAUAGCUGGGACUACAGGCACCAGCCACCACGCCCGGCUAAUUUUUUGUAUUUUUAGUAGAGACGGGGUUUCACUGUGUUAGCCAGGAUGGUCUCGAUCUUCUGACCUCGUGAUCUGCCCGCCUCGGCCUCCCAAAGUGGAAAUUUUUUUUUUUAAGUUACAGAAACCACAGUUGAGAAUUUCACAGUAAUCAACCCACUGGCACGUCUGUUAUGAGGUCUUCAUCAUCCCACAAACGCGUUGUUCCGCCUUGAUCUUGUGAGGCGCUGGCCCUCUUCUUGUGGAGUUCUCACCGGCUCAGAGGGUCAGUGUGAGUGAGCCGAUGUGUGCCGCACACCCAGGAUGUCUACAGGACUGGGGGCUGGAAAAUUGAGUGACAUCUCUUGCCCUGGCACCUGUGGCAGGCAGUUCUGGGUAACCAACAGGAAUCCCUCAGGCUGUGGGGCUGGACGGGAGACUGCAGCCUCCUGACUGAGUGUGCAGGUGGGAGACGCCGCCGAGUCACUUGUUGGAACGUGGCCCGAAACAAACUGCGGGUUUUGCUGGGCCCUCCCUGUUGCUACUGGAAGAGUCCUGUCACAUGGAUAAGCACCCCGCCCCUCACGGCCCCAGGACAUCGGGUGCCCUUCAAGGUCCAGGGGAAGGCGCCCUGCCUGGCGCAGCCUGGAGUCUCCCGUCCACAGCCGGGGACUGCUUCACACCUGGUGCCCACAUUCUGCCUCUCGUUAAACAUUGCAUGCGAUUCCUGCGAGUUCUCUGGCAUGAGACGAUGACCUAGUAAUGGGGUCGCAGCAGGGACGGGAAGCUGGCCAGGCGCAGGCUGUGCUCGCAGGGACGGGAAGCUGGCCAGGCGCAGGCUGCGGUGUGGCACAGGGGGACCAACCAGAGGGAAAGGCUGACCCCCUGGGUGCCUCAGAGUCUGGCACAUUCCAGCCUCUCCAUGGCCCGGCUCUCAUGGGAUGCUCCAUCCAGGGGGCAUUUUGCAGACUGGGGAUAGGACUGUCACGGUGAUGGGGGGCACUGAUGGUCACCCCCGUGCAGGGCCCUGGGCCGAAGCCCCGCCCCUCCUGCCCCUGCCGGCUGGGCCCUGGCAGCUCCCCCUACCCCCUCACCUUUGAAGAAAACCACAUUCCCGCCAAGUCUGCCUUCCUCAAAGGAUGGACUUGGUGUUCAUGUCUGUGUCUCGGGACUCUGAGCGAUGGGACAGCAUCUGGAAUGUCACUGAGCCAUCCGCGACUUCGGGAGCUUGUGGGAUGUGGCGUCAGGCAUGGGGCGGCUCCUCAGGGCUUCUGGAAGGUUGUAGGCGCAACUUCCUUUUGUCUCUCCUUUUUAUUGUAGUGAGGAAGCAGGAUUCAGAUUUGAAAAUGAUGUUUAUAAGUAGAUGCUAAACUCAAAUGAUAAGAUGUGUGACCGAAAAAGGAGGCACGGACUCAGCGCCUGGAGAAACACCCGGAAUCGUGCUCCCAGCAGGAUGCAGCCCCCUGAGCACCAGCACGGUGGGCCUGACGGGGCGGGGGCGGCUCUGCAGGAGCAGGAGUCCUGUGGGCUUGGUGGGGGCGCACACUGGGCUUUCUCCAGCUGAUCUUACAUUUUAAGUAGAGACACAAAUCGGGGAAGGUGUCUGCUAUCUUAAGUCUUGGCCGCAUGGGGCCACUGCUACAGGGAUCACUGUGUGGCCUCCUGGCCCCGUCCUAAGGCAAGUGCCUGGCCUCCUGGCCCCAUCCUAAGGCAAGCGCCUGGCCUCCUGGCCCCGUCCUAAGGCGAGUGCCUGGCCUCCUGCUCUUCGGGCUUCAGGGCUCCUGCAGAGGGUGGCUCCUUCUUCCUUUCCAUAUGCUGUGGUCAUCGUCUCUUUGUAAGUUCAGUCUCUCACUGGGGCCCACAGGUGGUGGUUUCUUGCUUGUGACGCUGAAAAAUUGUCAAAGUCAAGGAAGCUAAGAGCGGGGCUUGCUUUUAUUCUAUGCUGUCCUCAAGGUCAAGCACAGAGAAUUCCAGGGUGGGUGUAUCCUGUGCAUUGUGGAAAUGCUCAGAGCCCCUGGGCCCCGGGGGGAAGAUCCACAGGGGAGAGGUGAGCCCUGUUGUCACCUUUGUUGGAUGUCCAGCACCGUACCUCUCUCGGGGGAGGGGGAUUGGGGUGGGGCCGCGCCGGCUGCUGUGAGCCCUUCCUGCAGGAAGGUGGGCUCAGAUCAUGAAGCACUGCCUCCAGGAGGCAGGAGCUGGAAGACGGGGCUCCAAGGCCCUGUGGCCCCUGGCUGAGCAGUGUGACCAUGAGCGCAGGCACCAUCCAUCCACGUGGAGACAGAGCAGCCGCACAGGGCGGACGGCGUAUCAGAGCAGGUGAGCUGACAGCUGGGCUCCAGCAAGAGCUUUCCAGGAAUCGCUGUCAGGGCUGGGAGGAGCAGUGGCCCCAGGUUGGGAGGAGACGUGACAGGACCGGGCCUGGGGAAGCGUGUGCUGGCGUCAGGGAGAAGACGGCAGCCGCGACAUCUGGCACCUGGGGCUGCAGAGCCUGAGCACCCCGGACCGCGCCCGGCGAGGGCGGCCUCCCUGCGCUGAGCGCGACCUGCGUGUCCUGCUCUCGGCUUUCGUGCCGGUUCAGAAGAACAAGGCCGGAAGGUUGCGGUCUCAGCGCUCGCUCCAUGCCGGGAGCGCGCAGAGCUGAGGGCGCUUGCGUGUCCGGCACAGCGUGGAGCCCGCGUUCCUCUCUGCACUCAGGAGCUGCGUCCCGUUCCGUGCUGGCGAUGAGGACGCCGGCCUCCGCCAGGCCGAGUCAGCACUCUGUCCCCGGGGUCUGACUCCGUGGCCCCUGUCCUCGCUGGGUCUCCCCGUUCCAACUUUAGUGACACGGUCUCAGGAGAGGAUGCAGGCAGAACGGGCUUUCCUUUUUCCUGCCCUGGGGGCUGACAUCUGCCUCACGGAUGCCACCCACUGAAAGGGCAGCCCUUGUCGCCUUAACUCGUUUUCCAUCUCAGUUACCGUCCUCGGCAGGGCACUGUCACAUCCUAACGUGAGGACGAAAUGGGCUUGACCUCCCAGCAGCAGCCGCCCCGGUGGCUGCAGGUACCCCCGAGGCCGGCCCCAGACACUGAAAGGGAAGCAGCCAGCCUGACCAGGGAGGAACCGGUGUCAACGCGCUCAGAUUCCAGAGCCGGCACCGUGCCAUAGGGCAGGAGAGAAGGAGGACAUGAGGCGCAGGACGCAAGUUCAGGCCACCCUGACCCUGAAGAGGGUGCAGCCACCCCGCAGCACACGCUGAUAAAAGGGUCUCUUCUGUUGUGGGCUCCGAGGCCUGCAGAGCCGAGACCUGACCUGAUAAAGCCAGAGCAAGGGGCUGCAGCCACCGCAGGAGGCUUCAACGAUUCAUGGUGAAAGGUCCGACUGAGAGCCCUGGAGUGUGUUAUCCCAGGAGAGCUCCUUGAGUGUGACUGAGAAAUAGAUCUGGGGUCCUGUCACCAAGGCGGUGUAUAAACAGUUUACAAAUGACAGCAGAUACGAAUCACCGAAGCCAGGCAGAACACCCCUCGUUCGUCCACGAUAGAGCUCUAGUCUUGCAGGGGUUCAGUGGUUUAAGGAAGAUGCGUUGUUGGGGAGCCACAGUCCCUGGCUUAUCACACAUCUUGCCAUGGCUUGAUUCAGGCCAACAUUGAUACUGCAUUUCAGUUAAGUUGAAUUAGACACUGCAAGUCAAUGUCAGUUGUUUUGGGCUUCAGUUCACAUCUGGUUCAGCUCAAGUUGUUAGUCCAGGGUUGGGAAGAGAAGUGGCGCUGGGCUUAGGCGUCCUCAUCUCCCGAACCUGCCUGACACUGUGACACUGGGUUGGGUGGGAGUGGGAAAAGAGGGGAAGGGAUUCUGAAAAUACUAAUUCUAAUUUUGCAAUCUAUCUUUACAAAUAUCAUCCCAGGGCUCCUUGGAGAAGCAGCUGAUCCCAGCUCCGGGGCACAGAAAGUUUCCGGUAAGCCUGGGGCUUCAGGGCCUUCAGAGCAAGAAAGUGCCCUUGGCAAUGGGGCAGGUGGAGAAAAUGCAGGAGCCAGCCCGGAGAGGCUCCCACUGCCCAAAGAAGAACCUGGGAGUCCACGAAGUGGGAAGGGGGAUUAGGGAGAGAGACGGAGAGCUGGGGGCAGGGGAAACAGGUAAGCCAGAGAGAGAGCUGGUGGGCAGGGACAGGAGAGGCAGAGAGCGAGGGAGACGGGCAGGGUGGGGGAGAAGACUGAGGGGAGAGAGAGGCUGAGACGGAGUGGGAGGGGGGAGAAGACUGAGGGGAGAGAGAGGCUGAGACGGAGCGGGAGGGGAGGGCAUCUGGUUUCCCUUCGGCAGCCACUCUGACAUCAUUGUCAACUCUACUCGGAAAUCGGUGAGGAAAGGGACUGACUUCAGCAGUUCCCCCUUGCUUAAGAGAAAGUGUG
This 4508-nucleotide long non-coding RNA is filed under the name Homo sapiens (human). RNAcentral's name for it is "non-protein coding lnc-DLGAP2-1:2". Lineage: Eukaryota; Metazoa; Chordata; Mammalia; Primates; Hominidae. The record is from RNAcentral.